Molecule: ribosomal RNA, 547 nt
Filed under: Epacris microphylla
Lineage: Eukaryota; Viridiplantae; Streptophyta; Magnoliopsida; Ericales; Ericaceae
Description: eukaryotic LSU rRNA
Rfam family: 5.8S ribosomal RNA (bases 164-317)
Source: RNAcentral
GUGAACCUGCGGAAGGAUCAUUACCGAGAGUUGUAGGCUUCUGUCUACCAUCUCUUACCCAUGUCUUUUGCGUACUACACGUUUCCUCGGCAGGUCCGCCUGCGGCUAGGACAAUUUAAACCAUUUGCAGUUGCAGUCAGCGUCUGAAAAACUUAAUAAUUACAACUUUCAACAACGGAUCUCUUGGUUCUGGCAUCGAUGAAGAACGCAGCGAAAUGCGAUAAGUAGUGUGAAUUGCAGAAUUCAGUGAAUCAUCGAAUCUUUGAACGCACAUUGCGCCCCUUGGUAUUCCAUGGGGCAUGCCUGUUCGAGCGUCAUUUGUACCUUCAAGCUCUGCUUGGUGUUGGGUGUUUGUCCCGCCUCUGCGCGUGGACUCGCCUUAAAGCAAUUGGCAGCCGGCGUAUAGAUUUCGGAGCGCAGCACAAAACGCGCUUUGUAACCAAUACGGUGGCGUCCAGUAAGCCUUUUUUUAACUCUUGACCUCGGAUCAGGUAGGGAUACCCGCUGAACUUAAGCAUAUCAAUAAGCGGAGGAAAGGGCGAAUUCC